AGAGUUUGAUCAUGGCUCAGGAUGAACGCUGGCGGUAUGCUUAACACAUGCAAGUCGAACGGACUCUUCGGAGUUAGUGGCGGACGGGUGAGUAACGCGUGAGAAUCUGACUUCAGGUUCGGGACAACAGUUGGAAACGGCUGCUAAUACCGGAUGUGCCUUAUGGUGAAAGAUUUAUCACCUGAAGAUGAGCUCGCGUCUGAUUAGCUAGUAGGUGUGGUAAGAGCGCACCUAGGCGACGAUCAGUAGCUGGUCUGAGAGGAUGAUCAGCCACACUGGGACUGAGACACGGCCCAGACUCCUACGGGAGGCAGCAGUGGGGAAUUUUCCGCAAUGGGCGAAAGCCUGACGGAGCAAUACCGCGUGAGGGAGGAAGGCUCUUGGGUUGUAAACCUCUUUUCUCAGGGAAGAAUGAUGACGGUACCUGAGGAAUAAGCAUCGGCUAACUCCGUGCCAGCAGCCGCGGUAAUACGGAGGAUGCAAGCGUUAUCCGGAAUGAUUGGGCGUAAAGCGUCCGCAGGUGGCAAUGUAAGUCUGCUGUCAAAGCGUCUGGCUCAACCAGAUAAAGGCAGUGGAAACUACAUAGCUAGAGUAAGGUAGGGGUAGAGGGAAUUCCUGGUGUAGCGGUGAAAUGCGUAGAGAUCAGGAAGAACACCGGUGGCGAAAGCGCUCUGCUGGACCUUAACUGACACUGAGGGACGAAAGCUAGGGGAGCGAAUGGGAUUAGAUACCCCAGUAGUCC
Molecule: ribosomal RNA, 742 nt
Filed under: uncultured cyanobacterium
Lineage: Bacteria; Bacillati; Cyanobacteriota
Description: bacterial SSU rRNA
Rfam family: Bacterial small subunit ribosomal RNA
Source: RNAcentral